CUUUCAUUUUUGCGGUUAUAACCUGAGACAGAAUCGCAUGUACUAUAGGGGGUAUACCCCAAAAACGACCCAAAAAGUCGAUUUUGUGAAAUGGUGCGUUUGGGCCUUAGGACACAUUGUCCGGCCUGUAGCACCCGUAUUUCGCAAUAUUUAAUGCAUUUUGGCCCGGUAAAGCCCAGAAUUUGGAGCAUAGGAGGUAAUGAAGUCGGCGGUCAGGACGGUCCUUGUGGCCUAUACUGAUGCGGUCGGCCUUAGCCUAUGGCUCGAUUGGGUGAUUUGGCCUCUCGGGAUCUGGUUGCUUGACCAUAUGGCUGCGCGUUCAGUCAGGUUGGGUUGCUGGGUUCCAGUUUAUUGGGUGUCGGGUGGCAUUUGUCAUUCUGCAUUCAGGCUGUGCGGUCUAUGGUAGCUCGAGGGCUGGCUCCGGCUGGUCAUUGGGUUGCUGUGUGAACGUGUAGCUUUUCCUAUGUUAAGCCGACUGGCUUGUUCUGACCGCUGGGCGUGUCAUUCGUGGCUCGUCUAAGCUGUGCCUAUACGAUAUACGUUAUAUAUACCCGGCGCGAGCAUGUGCCCCACUGCGCCAUUGUUGCUGCUCCACACGGGAAGGUGCUAGACCGUGUGGUUGCAAAUGCUUAGUUUACUCUACAGUUCGCACGGGGCGGGUACCACUGUGUGGACAAGGUUAUCAAAUGUUUCGCUUCCGCUUACCCAGUGGUUGCGCGUACGCUCCCGAUCCCUCGGGGUUGGGUUGCUUGAAAGAGUGAAUA
Molecule: unclassified non-coding RNA, 764 nt
Filed under: Tylodelphys immer
Lineage: Eukaryota; Metazoa; Platyhelminthes; Trematoda; Diplostomida; Diplostomidae
Description: partial external transcribed spacer
Source: RNAcentral